AAAAAGUCUGCCAUAAAAGAAAUUGCACAAUUUAUGGCUAACAUACCAUUAAUAUCCUAGGAUGAUUCACAACCAAAUAAACAUUUUUGCUUCCCUAGCCUAGUCUAAGAGGUUCAUUCUGCUUAAAAAUUUGUAAAUGCAGCAUAUUACAAAAGAAUUGCAAAAAUAAAAUAAAAUUAAUGAAUCCACCUUCUAUAGAAAGUUUUGAACAAAAUUCCAUAUCAAACAUCUCCUGAUUGUUAGUUGCUUUCACUAUGUUAGUGGACAUCCAAUAAAAUUGGAAGUAUACUUGCUUUCACAAUGUCAAUGCUUUCUGAAGUUGUAAAAGCCACACUGCUAUGUGCAUUACGCAAACCCGGCCUUCCAACAAGAUCUUCUGUAUCCAAAAAUUGAUCCAAGAUAAUAAUGAUCUCUUUUGCAACAACAUAGACUCAAGAACCGCUUCAGAUGAAACCCUUCCAAUGAUUAAGAAUGACUCAAGAGAAGGCCCUUGAAUCAAUGACCCAUUAACUGCUCGUAAGCAGUCGUUCGUCUUGAGCAUUAGAAGAAUAACCCGGGGCAAUCUCCUCAGAAGUUCAGUGAUUUGUGGAAAAUAUUGAGAAGCAUACAUCUGCAAUUCUGAACGGUCACCGUCUGUGCCUUUGACAACAAGAUGAUCAACUGAAGAAUCUAUCACUUUAUUCCAAGGCCUCAUUGUGAGAAUCCCAGCAAACAAUGCGUAAAGAUCGUCUCCAGCACCCAGUUUUACACAGUUUUCCUUUAUCCCAUCUGCAUCAGAAUAUACCAAAGCCUUCCACAGUGCAGCAUAGUUUAUUCUGGUAUUGUAAUCAAGUUCUUUGUAUAA
Molecule: unclassified non-coding RNA, 844 nt
Filed under: Hevea brasiliensis (rubber tree)
Lineage: Eukaryota; Viridiplantae; Streptophyta; Magnoliopsida; Malpighiales; Euphorbiaceae
Source: RNAcentral